GACGAACGCUGGCGGCGUGCUUAACACAUGCAAGUCGAACGGAAAGGCCCUGCUUUUGUGGGGUGCUCGAGUGGCGAACGGGUGAGUAACACGUGAGUAACCUGCCCUUGACUUUGGGAUAACUUCAGGAAACUGGGGCUAAUACCGGAUAGGAGCUCCUGCUGCAUGGUGGGGGUUGGAAAGUUUCGGCGGUUGAGGAUGGACUCGCGGCUUAUCAGCUUGUUGGUGGGGUAGUGGCUUACCAAGGCUUUGACGGGUAGCCGGCCUGAGAGGGUGACCGGCCACAUUGGGACUGAGAUACGGCCCAGACUCCUACGGGAGGCAGCAGUGGGGAAUAUUGCACGAUGGGCGGAAGCCUGAUGCAGCAACGCCGCGUGCGGGAUGACGGCCUUCGGGUUGUAAACCGCUUUCGCCUGUGACGAAGCGUGAGUGACGGUAAUGGGUAAAGAAGCACCGGCUAACUACGUG
This 468-nucleotide ribosomal RNA is filed under the name uncultured bacterium. RNAcentral's name for it is "partial 16S ribosomal RNA". It matches the Rfam family "Bacterial small subunit ribosomal RNA", at positions 28 to 507 of the family's 1533-position model. The record is from RNAcentral.